GUGGGGAAUCUUGCGCAAUGGGCGAAAGCCUGACGCAGCCAUGCCGCGUGAAUGAUGAAGGUCUUAGGAUUGUAAAAUUCUUUCACCGGGGACGAUAAUGACGGUACCCGGAGAAGAAGCUCCGGCUAACUUCGUGCCAGCAGCCGCGGUAAUACGAAGGGGGCUAGCGUUGCUCGGAAUUACUGGGCGUAAAGGGCGCGUAGGCGGACAGCUUAGUCAGAGGUGAAAGCCCAGGGCUCAACCUUGGAAUUGCCUUUGAUACUGGCUGUCUUGAGUUUGGGAGAGGUGAGUGGAACUCCGAGUGUAGAGGUGAAAUUCGUAGAUAUUCGGAAGAACCCCAGUGGCGAAGGCGACUCACUGGCCCAAUACUGACGCUGAGGCGCGAAAGCGUGGGGAGCAAACAGGAUUAGAAACCCCAGUAGUCC
Molecule: ribosomal RNA, 425 nt
Filed under: uncultured bacterium
Lineage: Bacteria
Description: partial 16S ribosomal RNA
Rfam family: Bacterial small subunit ribosomal RNA
Source: RNAcentral